This 740-nucleotide ribosomal RNA is filed under the name Entrophospora etunicata. Its description in RNAcentral is "LSU rRNA". It matches the Rfam family "Eukaryotic large subunit ribosomal RNA", at positions 58 to 649 of the family's 3401-position model. Lineage: Eukaryota; Fungi; Glomeromycota; Glomeromycetes; Entrophosporales; Entrophosporaceae. The record is from RNAcentral.
AAAGAAACUAACAAGGAUUCCCCUAGUAACGGCGAGUGAAGAGGGAAGAGCUCAAAUUUUAAAUCUGCCUUGUUCCAAGGUCGAGUUGUAAUUUGAAGAAGCGUUUUCUUGGGCUCGCGGCCGGUAGAAGUUCUUUGGAACAGGACAUCAUAGAGGGUGACAAUCCCGUCCGUGACCGGUCGUGCGUUCAUAUACGAUACGCUUUCAAAGAGUCGAGUUGUUUGGGAUUGCAGCUCCAAACGGGUGGUAAACAUCACCUAAGGCUAAAUAUUGGCGAGAGACCGAUAGCGAACAAGUACCGUGAGGGAAAGAUGAAAAGAACUUUGAAAAGAGAGUUAAACAGUACGUGAAAUUGUUGAAAGGGAAACGAUUGAAGUCAGUCGUGCUGGCGCGAAAUCAACCCUCUCGUCUUGAGAUCACAUGGCGCGACGAGCCUCAAAACCGUCACGAAGCGUGAACUCUUGACGAAAAGGUGCACUUUCGUGUCCGCUGGUUAACAUCAAUUUCGAACGUCAUAAAAAGGCUGGAGGGAUGUGGCUCCUUCGGGAGUGUUAUAACCUUUAGCGGAAUGUGGCGUUCGGGAUUGAGGAUUGCAACGAAUACCUUCAGGGCUGUUCCACCUGGCUUCUCAUUGGUAUCCUGGUGACGACAGCUUGCUGACGUCGUUAGGAUCAGCUUCUGAACAGGCUAGAGUGUGAGCAAAUUCGUUAAGGAUGUUAACGUAAUGGCUUUAAACGACC